UCAAUAGAGACGAAGAGGAGUUCAAUGGCAACAUGGGCGUCCGGUAUGGAAUCAAGGGUAAGGGAUAGCGGGACACUGCGGAGCUUCAGAUGCUCGGAGGUUGGAACGCCUUGGGCUGCAUACCCUGCUAGGUACCAUUCUUUGCUCUCCGCAAUCUCCGCCGUCUUCUCACUUUUUCUCAUUGUAUCCCUCUUGUCUCCGAUUCUCUACAGACUGCAGUCUAUAGAUAAUUUAAUCAGCGAAUGAAUUCGGCUUCUAAUGGAAUACAGGUGGGUGAGUUUUGUUGGUUUGGAGCUCUAACUGCCAGCUUAAUUUGUCAUAUGUGAAUAUUAUCUUUCACCUAACACCUUAACGUCAUAAACACGUUGCUCUUCGGAUAGUAGAGUCCUGACAAUACUAUCUUAUACUAUUUUAACAGUGUGUAGAUCGGUCAACUUAUCAAGAUAAUACUAAUCAUAAGCGUUUCAUAGAUCAGACAUAUAACCAAGGUAUUCUAGCGGUGUUCAAGACUCUGGCGCCUUCCUAGCUUAACGUCGAACUGAUAGUCUGACUUUUAUGGAGAUAUAUCUUUCACUAUAGUAACUUACUAUUAGCAACUCUAGUUCUCAACCUUCUUCUUGUAGAUCUUCUUUUAGUUUGUCUUCUCCUCCUUCUCCUGUAUUUAAAAAGUCUUCUUCUUCUAAGUUUAAGUUCUUAUAUGAAGUAGAUUAUAUCCUAGAAGAAAAGAAAACCCAACAAACAGUUUUUCCCCUUGUAAAUCCUUAUACAAUUUUCUCAAACUCCUCCCAUUCUCUUACUAGAUCUUUAAAAACUCUUUUAAAACCAAAAUUCUAAACUCCAAAAGAGUAUGUUCAAGCCACAAACUUUGAUCAAUGUAUUCUUCCAGUAAGACCUCAAGAGCACUUUGUUACUCAUCAGAUCCCAGAAAAAUUUUCUCAAUAAUGGUCAGAACAAGGAUACACUCAUAUCCACUUUUGGUGCUAUCAGAAUAGCCUUAACCUUCCACGACAGAAAUGGAAUUUUGUAUGUACCAGAAUGGCCUUAUUGGACACAAGAUUUAAAGAAUACAAGCAUGCAAUCCUUGGCUUUUCCCUUCUUCUCAGAAACCUCACCUUGAUGAUGAAUUUGAUUUACCUGAUGAAUUUCUUAACCUUCCAGUGAAAAAUCUUCCUCCAGAGUUACCAAGACUUCUUGUCACUCAAACCCUUGACCAAAAAGCCUUACACCUCUUGCUCAAAUACCAGUCCAAAAUACUUUCUUGUGCAUUUAUCUUAGAGGAUGAGUUAACUGUGUAAGAUCUGAGAAAAUUUACUCAUGUAAUUUAUUAUACCGAGAAAUUACUGGAUUUGCUUCUUUGAAAAAUCAGAAAAAUCUACAAGUGUCUGAACAAUGUGAGGUUGAGCUAUGUACUGACCAUCUUGUACAUGCAUGCCUAAGAAAUCAAUUUUUGAAGUACCAAUGAUCAUUUUUUUCUCUGAAAGUAUUAUCCAAUACUGUUGAACAAUUUGCUGGAACUUAUCCAAUGGCGCAUAUAGAAGCUUCCUGGAUGAUGAUAAUGUUCCAAAAAAGCAAAAGAAGAAAAAAUCUUCCCAGUAAAAACUCAAAGAAAGAUAUGAGAAUUGAGACCUUGAAGUUGAUCUCCUUGCUGAACCCUCAGGAAAGUUUGGCUACUAUGUCAUCUAUCCAUCCCUUGUAACAAACCUUUCUUUAUAAAAUAUGUUUGGCUAAAAACCUUUUUUCUCUUUUGGUAAUUCCAUCUUCCUUCUUCUAUAGUUAAAAUUGUAGCUUCAUAUUUCUCUUCAAGUAAUUCCAUAGUUUAUAGUUAUAUAAGUUGAGUAUGUUUUGCAAUUGCCAUAAUAUUAUGGAUCCUCUGCAUCAAAAAUUCUUGUUAAACUGUUAAACAGAUUAUUGAUCUCUUUCCUUUAGCCAAAAAAAAGUUAUACUGACCUAAGAUCAUACUAAUAGUAAGUUACUAUAAUAAAAUACAUAUAUAAUUCCACAAGAAAGUGAUAUCCGAUGAUGUGAAAUUCAAAUCUUUGGAUUCCAUACUUUACAACUAAAAUAAUAAAAAAACCAAAAAUAACAAAAAGCGAAAUACAAUUAUAUGUGUAUACAUACAUUAGUUUUUUUAAAAAAUUAUCUAAUUAAAAAACAAAAGAAUUAAAGGAAGAAAUUUUUUUUUAAAAGUAUAAACAUAUGAAAAAGGAAAAAAUUAAGUUGUCAUGUGACAUUAUCAAUAAUAAGAUUUUCUUACAAAUUUUAUAUCAUAGAUUUUUAUUUUUUAUUUUGAAUUUAUUUUUUUCUUUUUUCCCUUUUUAUAUUUAAUAUUUUUAUUUUUAGAGCUAAUUUGAUGUUAUUGAAUUAAAAUCAUUAAUCUUCUACUAUAAAUAAAAAAAACAAAAAAAAAAAUCAAAUUUAGAUGUAAUGUUGACACCUUCAUUAAUAUAUUUUUUCAACAAAAUUAUCUAAUUACAAAAAGGUUACAAAAAGAUAUUUUUAAUCAAUAAUAUAAAAUUUGCCACAUCCAUAAUAAAUAAAAAAAGAAAAAGAGAAGAGAAAAACUUAAAAAAAGAAAAAAGAAACGACAAAAAACACAAAAAAUAAAAAGGAAAGAAAGUUGAGUUGACACAAGGCACAUAGUAUUAGUAAUUUGUUUUUUUGAAAAACUUUUAUAUUAAGUUUUAAAAAAAUAAAAAAAAAUCAAAUUCUAAUAUGACAUUAACACUUAUGUUAGUAUCAAUUUAAAAAAAUUUAUCAAAGUAAAAAGGUAACUAAAAAAUAUUUUUAAUAAUAAUAAUAAUAAUAAUAAUAAUAUCAAAUGGGCCUAACAUCAAAAAAUAAAAAUAUUUCACAAAUAUUUAUUAAAUAAAAAAGAAAAAUUGUAAAAAAAACAAAAAAACAAAAAAAAAGCAAAAGAAAAAGAAAAAAGAAUUAAAUUACUUAACAUGUAACAUAAUUUUGAUAUUAGGUGAGGCACCAAAAAUGAAAUUUAAAAAAAAUUAUUUAUUAAAUAUAUAAAAAUUAAAAAUGAGAAAAAAUUAAAAAAAACACAUAGCAUAUCCUUGGAUUUAAAAAAAUAUAUAAAAAUAUUAAUUAAGCUUGUUUAAAAAAAAAUUGAUAUAAGUGAAUCUAACCAAAAAAAAAAACAUAUAUUAAACAUUUAAAAAUAAAAAAUGAAAAUUUAUGCAGGACCCGAUGAAAAAGAAUUUAAAAACAAAGAUAAAAUUGGAUUUCACAGAAAAUACAAUAGAAAAGUCGAUUUCAUGUUUUAAAAAUUAUGAAUAUAAGGUAUUAAAUUCUUAUUAUUUAUUCAAAAGAUAAUAAAAGAUAUAAAAAGCUUUUCUUAAAAUAUAAUAAAAAUUUUUUUUUAAAAAUAAUUAAAAGUAUAAAAAAUUUAAACUAUAUAAAUACAUUAAAAAUUAAUAUUAAACCAUUGAGAAAAGUGAUGCCAUUUAAAAUAUAGUGACUCCCACUAUAAAAUAAAAUUGUUUUAUAACAAUUAUAUUAUUAUAUAUAUAUUAAUUAUAGAAGAAAAAGGAAGUGACAAAAAAAAAAAAAGCCACCGUGGCACAAUAGUAAAAUUUUCUUUUAACAUUUCUAUUAGAUGUGGAAAAAUAUUGGCGUUAUUAUAUUUGUCCCGCCAUUCAUUGCAACGCGAAAGUUAUAACCAAUAGAAUUAUUAAUUUACAAAUACAAAUGAAAAUUGCGUAGCGAAAGGUGUUAAAAGAAGGCGAGGCGGGGCCAGCGCACUUUGUGAUGUCAAAUUUAUUCAAAUUCAACGAGAAAUAAGAUAUUUUAUUACAAUGAAAAUGGGAUGAUAUUUAUAAAAAAAAAAAACAUAGCAUGGCUAUUAAAUUUUGAGAAAGAAAAAAUAUAUAUAAUUUUAAAAUAUUUGUCAAAUAUGGAGAUGAGAACAAAUAAUGUAGUACGCUCUUGUAUAUGUAAUCGAUAUAUAUUAUAUAGUUAAUAAAUAAAAUCGUAUUAGUCCUUCAAAUAUUUUAAGUUAUUUGUAAAUUUUUGUUUAUUUUAAAUUAUUGUUGCUUAAAUUUAUUUUAAUGUUUAUUAUAUUUAUUUUAAAUAUUUAUAUUUGAUAUAUUACGAAUGAAUUACUCAAAGAUAUUUCAUAAAAUGCAUUUAAUCUUACAAUAAUUUACAAUUAAUUUUUUAUACAAUAUUGUUAUGUAAUUAAUUAACAAUGAAUAUUAUUUAUAAAUUCACAUUACAUCAAAUCUAAAUUUUUAUUUUAAUAUAUAUGUAUUAUUUAUAAGUUUUUAUUUAUUUUAAAAAAUAUUAAAUAUUUUGAUGUUUACUUUUAAUUUUUUAAAGAAUCUCAAAUAAUGAGGAUCUUUUAUACGCGUUCAAUUUUCAUAAAGAUGAAGACGAAAAUUGGUAUAUAUUUUUACUCAAAAAAAUAGGAGUGCAAAAAUAUAGAUAUUUUAACAAACAAAGAUGAAAAUGCAAAAUGCUAACCAAAUAUCAUAAGUAUCAAUGUCAGGUUCUAUAUGGUAAAACAAAAUGUACUUGUGGAAAACGAAAGAAGAAAUACCAGACUGCUCGUAAAGCGAAAUAUAGAAAAUUUUAAAUCAUGUCCGGUAAAUAUACUUGAUUGGUUGUCAUGUCAAACAUCAUCAUAAUAAGAAUUAAUCAAGGAGUAGCAUAAUUUUAAAUUAUCCGUAAAUAAAUAUGAAUUACUAAGUAGAAAUUUUAUUUUGGAAGAAAUUGAAUCUCAUAGUUUAAAAUAUAAUAUAAAUAUUAGGAUAUGCAAAUGAUAUGAUAAAAUAAAAUAAUAAAAUUUAUAAUUUUAAUAAUUAUUAUUAUGAGUUUAAUAAAGUUAAAAAAUAUUUUUUUAUUUUAUAUUAAUACAAAUUAUAUCAUGUGAUUUUAUAUAAAAAUAAGAUAAUCUAAAUGAGACUAAGAAGUGUGGUCCUAAGUCAUCACACUGUAAAAAAAUCAUGCUUAAUGACUCCCUUUUCAAGCACCGCACCCACUUUCUCACCAAAUAAUCAUCAUUUUCAGCGGUAAUCAAAAGGUGGGGUCGCUAUGCCAAAAAAAAAAGAAAAAAGGUAGGGUUGCUUCACACAAAAAAAAAAGAGGUUGGUGGGUCGAAAAUUGAAAAUAAAUAGUAAUUAAGAAAAAGGUUAAUGAUUUUAAUAAUCUCUAAAUUAUAAUAAAAUAUUUAAUAUGAUAUUUAAAUUAAAAGAUUUUAAUAUAGUAUUUGAAUUAUAAAUUUAUAAUUAAUAUGAUAUUAAUUUUUAAUAUAAUUAAUCUUAAAUAAUAAUUUAUGAUAAAUAAAUAAUUAUCUAAUUAUCAUAUUAAUUAAUAUAUUUAUAAUUUAAAUAUAAUGUUAAAAUUUUUUAAAAUUUUAAUAUUAUAUUAAAUAUUUUAUUAUAAUUCAAGAUUAUUGAGAUCAUUGACUUUAGAAUAGGGGAUAUUAUUUUAUUAUAAUUCAAGAUUAUUGAGAUCAUUGACUUUAGAAUAGGAGAUACUAUUACUAGCUAGUAUGUUGAGAACUGGAGUACCUUGGCACCAGAUCCUGUGCUUCCAAUGACUCUACAACCCUCGAGCUUAGCCAAUUGUCCCGCAAACAUUCCUACACCACCUGCUGCCGCUGAUAUGAAGACGUUUGAGCCUGGCUUUGGGUCUCCCAGCCCUUGUAUCCCCACCCAUGCAGCAAACCCAGGAACCCCUGCAAUAUCAUAUCAUGUAAAUGUAUAAGACCUAUGAAUCAUUAUCAUAUAUAAUUAGUGACAAAAUAAAUACUACUUACUAAACUAUUCCUAGAUGGAGUAGUUGCAAGUAAUAAUUAACUACCAAAACAACUGAGAUAUUCUGGCAAGGGAAUCCCAGCAGCCGGAUCAAUCUUCCUUAUCAGGACAUCAGAAGGCACCACACAGUAUUCGGCUACAGGGAAGAAAGCAUUCAGCACAAUAUCACCCUCAUCGUACUUAUUAUCCUUGGAUCUGAUUACUCUUCCAAUUCCAAAAGUAGUUAUCACCUGCUCGCCUCAUUAAAGUAUAUACAUAUGCUUAAUUUUUAACAGAGUAGUAGUACUACUGCAGAAUUACAAACUAAGUAAUAGUAAUUCUUGGCUUGGGUUUGCUAUAUAUAUAUAUAUAUAUAUGUAGUAGGUAUGAAAUGAAAUUAAGAAACAAACCUGGUUAAGGCUGAACUGCGGAAAAUAUAAGCCAUCGUCGUGGCCGCUCAUUCGGGUACGAAGAUAAGGAUCAAUAGAGACGAAGAGGAGUUCAAUGGCAACAUGGGCGUCCGGUAUGGAAUCAAGGGUAAGGGAUAGCGGGACAAUGCGGAGCUUCAGAUGCUCGGAGGUUGGAACGCCUUGGGCUGCAUACCCUGCUAGGUACCAUUCUUUGCUCUCCGCAAUCUCCGCCGUCUUCUCACUUUUUCUCAUUGUAUCCCUCUUGUCUCCGAUUCUCUACAGACUGCAGUCUAUAGAUAAU
This 6455-nucleotide long non-coding RNA is filed under the name Durio zibethinus. RNAcentral's name for it is "long non-coding RNA (DZIB_LNC001644)". Lineage: Eukaryota; Viridiplantae; Streptophyta; Magnoliopsida; Malvales; Malvaceae. The record is from RNAcentral.